CCUAACGAAUUGAGCAGCAAACACCCCAUCUUUCUCUCUUCUUUUCUCCAUCUCUAUCCUCUUUGUAUCUUUUCUUCUCCUAAUUUCUUUUUCUUCUCUCAUAUCCCUUUUUGUUCUUUUGUUCUAAUAUCCUCUUUUUCUUUGUCUUAUCUUGUCAUAGAUGAUAUAGAAUCAAAGGAACAUAAAGAAUCUCGAGAUGUUGGCCUUAUUCUUUACAUGAUCAUUAUCUAGAUCAGUGCGUGAUAUUGAAGCUGGGCUCUUUUUAGGAUCUAUUGAAGGCCUUCAGGAAGAAGAAAAGAAGGGGAUAGCCAUUGAUGAGGGCAAAAAUCAUUAGCAAGGAGAGCUUGAAGGGUGAUGCUAUGCUCCGCAAUCUCGUUAUCUCUAUCAUCAACUUCUCCAACCAUGUGGAAUUUUUGCAAGAUCUAUUGUCGCUCUAGGUAUUUCUUUUUCUGUUGCCUUUUUUUUGGUUGUGAUGCAUUGGAUGUUUUAUUCUCUUUAUUAGUUUUUGUUCUUUUCCUAUUUUAGAUCUUUUGGGUAGAUGGUGUUCUUGUUGUAGUUCUUGUGUUAGGAACUCAUUUUGAUGAAACAAUGGAAAGGAGGUUAGAUCCAUUGAGAAAAGAAACUAAUGAUCUAUAAAAACUAGCACUUCUUGGUUUUGAUUUAUGUUUUUGUUCUUCUAUUAAGGAUUGGAGUCUACGAUUUUUAAUAAGUUAUAGAGCAUUAGAUAUAUUGAAAGAUGGUAUUUUGGUAGCACGAAUGCUAGCUUUAAGGGUUUGGGUUGUGAAUUUUUUUUAGAUUUGUUGUCUUCCUUUUAUAAUUUCCUUCCAAUCUUUUCCUCUCCCUCAGAUGGGUGUUGAUAGUUUUUCUCUCUAUAAAACUAGAACUUUUCUAGGUAGUCAUUCUUUGAUAAUUAAAAUAAUUUAUUUCUUAAUUUAUUUCCAUCUGGAUCUUGAGAUCAUAAUUUCUUGAUUCAGAAUCUAGAUCUUGAGACUUGUACUUGAUUUAUCAGUUAAUUGAUACAUCCUACUUUCUUUUCUUUUGGAGAUUUUGGAGAUUAGAUCUUGAGAUCAGUUUGAUUAAUUUAAGUGAACUAUUCCAUUUGUCUCUCUUUUUCUUUGGCUGAUCGAUUGAAUUUAUCAAGGUCGGAUUGGCCUUUUUCUGAUCAAAUAAUGUUCAUGAACGAAAUAUUGAUCUAUUUAUUAAAUUACUUAAGCAGGUCAGAUCAGCUUAUCUACUUAUUAAAUAUAAUCGAUUUCAAUUUUAAAGCUUGACCUAUUUAAUAACAAGCUAGAUUUAGAUUUACUACUUUCUAACCCAAUUAGCAUCUAACCUAACUAUAUAUAUCCCAUCCCCACAUGAUGGCCACUCAUAAAUGAAAUAAUGUAAUUGAUAGAAACAUAUUAGAGGGUAUUUUAUUCUUGUUUUAUCAUGAAAAUAGUUUACAUAGUAAAUUUUAGUGUACCCACUAGGCCUUUUGUUUUUUUUUCCUUGGAAGCAAUAGCAUGCCCACUAGUUAUUAUUCUAUAUCAAAGACAUGGCGGCAGAGCUAAAAUCUUUAAUGUAAGAGUGUGAUCUAUUACCCCAAUAUGUAUUGAUCUCUAAAAAAAGAAAUACUUGGUAUGUCAAACAUACAACUACAAAAAAAUAAAAAGAAAAUCAUUGAUAAGUUUUUUUCAAAGUUUUAUAUAACUUUUUUAUUUGGCAAACAACUUUUUCAUUUUCAUUCUAUGGCUUAAAUAUUAUGAUAUUCUUGGAUAAGUAAACUUUGAUAAAAAAUUGCCCACAUUUUUGUCAUUCCCUCAGUCUUAGUGCAAGAUACCAAGGUAAGUUAAAUAAAAUAAAAUAAAAUAAAAUAAAAAGUGUAGAUUCUGAAGGAGAUGGACCUAUUGGUGCCCCCCCCACUAAUGACCCCAAUGAACAUGACUAAAAUUGAAGACUAGAUCUAGAUCAGUCAUGAUAUCAUCAGCUUAAAAUCCGUAUAUGACCAAUCAAAAGUGUCCAUCCACUUCACUGAAUAAAAUAAGGCCUUUCUUGGACUAUAGCUUGGGGUGAGGGUGGAUGGAACUCCCACCUGUUAUAGUAGAGAUAUACAAAGUUUAACUUAGAUCGAUUUAAGGUCAAUUUAAAUAUUGAAUCAAUUUUUUUAAAAUCAAAAUCAAACCAACCAUAUAAAAAAUCAGUUUAAAUCAAAUAAAAAAAAUUGAUUCAAUUCGAUUCGAUUUAUCAGAUUAUGAGCUAUUAGGCUUAUAUUAAAUAGGCAACUUAUGGGAUGAACUAUAUGGAUAGUUUAUAGGAUGGGCAAAAUAGAAAAGUUAUGAGAUUGGCUAAAUGGGUUAAAAAUAGAAGCAAUAAAUCGAUAGAGCUAGGACAAAAUAUAAAUAAAUUGAUGGUGGUUCAUAUAUAAUAUAAACGCAAGGUUAGUGGGGGUCGUCUAGAUGCCGCAAUGGUCAAGGAUGCCCACGAUAAGGAUACAAUGGGGGAGGGCAAGGAUCCGAUUGAUGAGGAGCUGGACAUGUUGCCUCCAGUCCUCUAUGUGCUUAUGGGUAAGUUUCACGAUCUUCUUGGAUCAAGUCCAACUUUGCUUGCUAUCUAGGGUUUCGGAGGAUUCUUCUUCUAGGGUUUCUAUAAAUGGGGAUCGGUAGUUUAAGGCUGGGGGUAGAGAUGAGGGGAGAAGGAGAGAGAAAUUAGAGGUGGAUGGAGUAGUCAAAAUUGAGGUUGGGCUAUCACAUAGAGGGAUCGGCAAUGAUGUAUUGGAAUCCAGGAGACUCAAAAUUAUCUUUAAUGAUGAAUGAGGUGGAGAGGAUGGCAGUGGCAAUGGUGAUAGUUUACCAGAGAUUCAAAUAGGCAUAGAGAUGGCAAGAGAGGCUGUUGGCAAAGAGGGAGAGGGGUGAUCCCACAUGUGUCAUGAAUGGCACAAGAGAAAAGCAAUGAGAAAAAGAAAGGAAUGGAAGAUCAAGAAGAAAAAAAAUAUUAUUUUAUCCAAAAUAGAGGAACAGUUGAGGUAGUUGGAAUGGCUGAUGUUGCAGGCAAUCUAUGGCAUUAUUUAUAGUUGAUCUUGGUGGAGGCUAUAAUUUCUCCUAGCUUGAGCUUGGGGUGGAGGGGAGCCCAUACUUUGAAUUUUUGGUCUCUUAUAUGAAGUGGUUGGACUUACAUUCAAAUUGAAAAGUAGAAAAGACUAAAGAGAAAAAAUAUUAUCAAAGUUUUAUUUUUGAAUAAAUUAUCAAAAUUUUUUUGAGAUUUACAUUUAUUAUAGUUAUACCUAAUAGUUUGUAAAACCAACACUUAUGCUCACUUAAAUUAACGAUAUUAGUGAAACCAUUUAUCUUAUAUGAAAAGUCAAAAUCAUCCUUUAGCAAAAUAGGAUAUGCAUUUUCUUAUAUUCUUGGAUGGCUAUUGUGUCACUUAAAGUUAUUUAUCUUUUUUUUUUUCUCAGAUGUAGCAUUUGUGUUCUAUUUAAAGUUAACGGCUUGACUAACUUUAUAUUAAGUUAUGGGCUCAAGUGUUGGAUAAAAAUAAACCUCAAGAGCUCAAGCUUAGGUUUUUCAAAUUAUUGAUUGUAAGUAUAAUCAACCACUAAUCUUUGAGCGGUUUUUGUAAUUUAUUCUUCAUCUUUUUUUUUUUUAUUUAUGGGAUGGACGUAUCUCAUAUCUUGAUUUUGUCAUCACAUGCAUGCUUUUUUCUAUUAUUGAUUGCACCCCUCUCUCUCGAAUUAAGAGAGGGGCUAUGUGCUAUGUGUGUAAUUUGUGUUCUUGUAAUGGAUGUUUCGGCACAUGACCAACCAAACACCAAGGAUGCUCCAUUGUUUGAUAUUAUAUUCAAUCAAUAUCCCUUCAAGUCCCUGAACUUUUACAUUAGGAGAAUACUAGUACUAAUGAUCGAGUGCUUGGGUUGAUAGCUAUCAAAGCCUAGUAAAAAUGUUGACUACGUGACUCUGUUAAUACUUAAUUAAUUGCACUAAGCAUGAUGAAGAUUGUUUUUACCAACGUCAUGUGCUAAGUCCUGUACUGAGAGAACCAACUUAUAAUGCAAUUAAUGUCAAAUAAAAAUGAUAUUGGAAUUUAUUAUUUCGUUUGAUGACGGACUGUAGGCAAGGCCAGAUUUACAUAUAUUUUUUUAGCUAAGUGUCUACUUAAGUAUGUUAAUAUGCAGCCUUCUCAUCCUAUAGUGAUGGCUUUUCUUAGUCAUGUAGUACAUCCUUCUCACCUAUUGCACAUGCAUGGUUGUUACUAUAUUUCUAAAUAGGAUCUAUUGCCGAACGAUAGCAUAAUCACGAAGCUAAAUCAAGGGCGGAACUCUUUCUUUGAUAACUCACUCACAUUUUUAGAAAGAUAGCAUUGUUAACUAACCACUAGAUCCAAAUGAUUAAGGACGUUCUUUAUUUGAUAAAAUACACUUCUAUUUUUAGAUGGAUGCUGUUGUUAACUCAUCAUUUCACCCAAAAUGAUGAAGCUCUUUGGUGGAUAACAGAAAAUGCUUUUGGGUACAUAUUGGUCCACACUAGAAGUUCCCUAAGCCCAUAUUUGGCAACUCAUUUUGUUAACCAUAGGACAAUAAUCAAAGAUGGGGAUGAUGCCAUAGACAAUUGUUUUUUCCUAGGUUGGCAUCCUCUCUAGUUUAUCUUUUUUACCAUGUAAUCCAAUCGAGGCCUUGAGAUUACCCCAGCACAACAUGUCAUCAUUAGAAAAGUUGAUGAAUCUUAAGCUUCCAGUGCAGUAAAAUAUAAGCAUUCACAGUUCCAAGUUUAACACAUAACGCUCUAGAGGAAAAGGGUCCUCUGAAGCCAUUGUCAUUCACAAAAUGAGUCCUCAGUCAAGCCCACAUACCAAAGCCUAGCUCUAGGUAUUAGGCAUACGAGCUAAACUUAGGUAUUAAGCAUACUGGCCUGGCUGGCCAGCAAAAGCUUGAAGCCUUUGAGCAGUCUCAGGCCUAAUGUUUAAGACAGCCAGGCCAGGCUAGGCCUCAAAAUUAGGCCCAUUUAAUAAUCGAUCGGGCUCAAGAUUGGAGACUAAAGCCUUGUUUUUUCUUCCUUAGAUUGCGUUUACUUUUGAUGUGUUUGUAGAUCUAAUUAACAAUUGUCAUUGAUAUGCAAAAUUCAUGAGAUAAUAGGCGACUUUUAGCAAUAUUUCAUUAUUCAUAUUCAGUAAUUUUAAAAUAUUUUAAAUAAUUUUUUAUUGUUUUUAAUAUUUUUUAAAAAAAAAAUUGACACGAAGCCUAAGACUAAGCAGAAAGCUUAGAGUAAGAGCUGGGCUCGAGCUUAGGAGGGAGGCCCAAAUCUAGACCAGGGCCUAAGAAAAUUGUGUUGACCUUUGGAAAAGUUACUCGAGCUCGACUAAGCCUGAACCAUGAAGAUCAAGCUCAGAUUUGAUUCUCAUAACAAGAUUAUCUCUCUUCCAUAUCACUUACGAAAAUCCAAACAAUUGAAACCAAUAGCUCAAUCUAGGAGUAAAUGCUCAGAUUGAGUACAUUUUAGAUCUAGGUUGAUCAAUCGAUGUUAAAAUUUAUGAGUAUCAAAAAAAUUUCUCCCUAGACUUCUAAUUUUCAAAUUAAUACAUAAUUAAAUUGGACUUGCUGCACUUGUUAAAGGUUGGAUGUGAAUGAUAUUUGAAAUAAAAUUAUAAAAAUAUCUCUUUGAUGAUCUUCGAUGCUUCUCCUUUUAUUAUUGAAUCAAUUUUUAGAAUAUUAUUUUUUGAUAAAGAUAUUGUAAUCAGUGUUAUAGUUUAACAAUUUUUUAUUCUUUUAUUAGAAGAUGGAUUCUAACACAUGCAUGCAAUCAAUCAUCAAGUCAAGAUAUUAGACUUUUAGAUAAACAUUCAAUUUUGGAAAAUUAAAGAAAUAGUGGACAAAAAUAGCUUGAAAAUAUUAACCAAAAAGAAGAAAUCUCUUAUUCACCAUUUAGGCAAAUAGAAGGUUCACAUCACCUACAUAAAGGCGGUUUACAAUAUAUUUAAAAAAAAUACAUAGAUGAUUAUUUCAAUGAAGUAGAGGCUUUAAUAUUUCUUUGUUUCAUAAUCCUCGCAUCAUCAAGUCUAUUGCUGAUGGUGACUUAAAUCGCCAUGCCCCCCUUGAUCGGUAGCAAUUCUGAACUCUCAUGCAUACCGCCCUGAAUUGUGGAUAGAAACAAGCAAUCUGAAGAACGGAAAGACGUAUAGAUAUGUUAGAGAGCAUGAAAUAUGGUGGUAAAUUCUCAUAUUAGAAUUUUGUCUAUCUUGGACUUAAAGUUACAAUUUUAAUUAGAACAAACAAGAAUUCUUAUAUGUAGCAAGAGGGAAAUCCCAGCCUUUUAAAAUCUGGAUUUAAAUUACAAGGAAUACAUUUUGGCUCCUUCAGAGGCCUACAAAUAUAAUUUUUAAAACUACCACUUGCAUCUAGAAAUAGCAAAACUGUACAAUACUUUGAAUUCCUUCUUGUUCCCUUAAUAUUUAAAUUAACACUUAAAUUUGCUUUAGAAACAAUAAUAAUAUGGGACUUUGGAUUAAAGAUAUAAAAGAUAUGUAAAAGGAAUUUGAAGCAUCCUUACAUGACUCCACGGGGUGGAGAUGGAAGUUGGGAUCAGACUGUGAGCCUUAUGAAGAGCCUGUUAGCACCAUGGUAGCGACCACCAGGAUCAUUACUGGUUGAUGCUUCAUUCUCCCUAGUAAAAUUGAAAAUGGAGAAGGACAUGUUUGUAUUUGCCGUGGAUCUCUAUGAGUCAUGAGUGGAACUAUAGGCUAUGGAUUGCUAUGAAAUGUGUCAAAUGGUUGUCCAAUUUAUAGCUUGAUAUAACUCCACAUACAUGGUAUCCUGUGCAAGAGAAUCCAAUAUGACAACUAUGCAAACAAAUGCAUCCAAUGAUCACCAUUCCAAAAAAAAAAAAAAAAGAGGUACGACAGCCUUACAAAUAAAUUCUUGCCAUGGGCAUCCUUCCAAAAUUGAAUUUGGGAUACGUCAGCUUUCCCAAAUAAAUUCUUAUCAUGAUCAACCUUCCCAAAUUGAAUUUAAAAUAUGAUAGCUUUACAAAUAAACUAUUUACAUCAUCAUCCUUUCAAAAUUGAAUUUGAGAUAUGAUAGCUCCGCAAAUAAAUCCUUGCCAUGGUCAUCCUUUGAAAAUUGAAUGCAAGGAAAUAUAGCUUUGCAAAGAAAUUCUUGCCACGGUCACCCUUCCAAGAUUAAAUCUGUUAUGAUUCAACCGCAGAAGAUUAGCUGUCUUUGAUUCUUCCCUCUUGGUCCUAUAAGUUCUUUAGGAAAUGAUUGAUAAGAUAGGUGAUAAGGGGAGGGUGGUUCAAGUAAUUUUAAAUCAAGGCUCGUACCAAAUGUGUUGUGAGAACACGUGGCAUCUUGUCUCCAUGCUUUUAAGCCAAGUUGGCACCAAAUAAUAGGGUCUGAAAAUGCUUGAUUGAUUCUAUUCAGGAAGUUCACACUCCUCGAAGCCCCACCCCCAUGGAAGGGUGGUGGUUUAUGAUCCUCUUUCAGCUGUCUGAACUAAAACUAGUCAACUCGACAAAUAAUAUUAAAAAUUUCUAGUUAAUUAUCAGUUUAACAGAGGUGCUUCAACACUUUAAAGAUCUAUUUGUGCAGGGGCUGAUUGUGUUGAAUAUGAGUUCACUUGACAAGUGGGCAAUGAUGGGGCAAUAAGGUUUUGUUUGGAAUUAUUGUUAGGAGCAGAGUUUUUGAAAAUAGAGCUUUAGAGAAAUAAAAUUUUUGAAAAUAAAAUUUUUAUAAAAAAAUAUUUGAUGUUUGGUAACCAUAUUUAUAAAGUACUUUAAAAUUUUAUUAUAUGUUUGGUAACAAAAAUAAAAAAAUACUUUUGGUAUGAUAAAAUGAUAAUAAAAGAUAUUGUAUAGUAUUAUAUAGUAGAGAAUAAUAUAAUAUAAUAUUAUAUUAUAUUAUAUAUUAAAAUAUUAUUAUAAUAUAUAAUAUUAUUAUCAUAUAAUAUAACAUAGUAUUAUAAUAUAAUAUAAUAUAAUGUAAUAAUAUACUAUAAUAUAAUAUAUUAUAUUAAUAUUAAAAUAUUAUUAUAUUAUAUUAUAAUAUUAUAAUAUUAUGAUAGAUUAUAUUAUAUGUCUAUAACAUAAAUAUUCUUUUAUUUUAAAAUAUUAUUUUAUUAUAUAAUAUUAUUAUCAUAUAAUUUAAUAUAAUAUAAUAUAUACUAUAAUAUAAUAUUAUUAUAAUUAUGAUGUAACAUAUAAUGUAUAUAAUAUAAUGGAUUAUAAUCUAAUCUAAUAAUAAAUUUUAAUAUAACAAAUUAUAUUAUAUCAUUAUAAUAUAAUAAUAUUAUAAUAGAUUAUAUUAUAUGGCUAUAACAAAAAUAUUAUUACAUUUUAAAGUAUUAUUUUAUUUCAUAAUAUAUUAUCAUAUAAUGGAUUAUAAUCUAAUUUAAUAAUAAAUUAUAAUAUAAUAGAUUAUAUUAUAUUAUUAAUAUUGUUAUGUUAUUAUUAGUAUAAUAAUACUAUAGUAGAUUAUAUUAUAUAUUUAUAAUAUAUCAUAAUAUUAAUUUAUUAUUAUAUUAUAUUAAAUUUAUAGUAUAAUAAUAUAAUAUGAUAUAAUUAUAAGAUUUGUUAGUAGAUAUUUUUAUGAUUAUAAAAAAUUAUUUAAAUCAAAAUAACUUUCCGACAUUAGUCAGAAAAUACUUAUGGAAAAAGCUUCAAAAUAAAGCUUUUUCCAAAUAAACCCUUUUAGCUUUUUGACAAAGCCAAAAUAACUUUUCAAUUUUUUAUCAAAUGUCAUUGUAUCACCCUAAAAUAUUUUUUGAGGGUCAAAAAGUACUUUCUGAUACUCUAAAAGUUUAGCUAAAUAGGACCUAAGUCUUCUAACAAAUCCGAAGAUCACCAAUUAACCAAAAUCCUAUUCCUAUUAACUGUAAUUCAUGUUUGGAUGUCUGAAAAGUUGCUGAUUUGUUUUACCACGAUGGCACAUGGAAUGAAAAACUAUUGCAUCAGUUAUUCUCUAUUGAGUUAUUGAUUCCAAUUUGAAUAUCCAAGCCUUUUUUUGUCAAGGUAUAGGUCUUGUACCUCUAUAAAUAGGAGGGUAAGGCUAUAGGUUUAUAUGGCAUUAUAUGUAUGGGAGAUUGUAAGAAAAGGGUGUAAAGAGAUUAGGGUUUGAGAGUUUCUCUCUUGUAUUCUAAUUCUGAAAUAGUGCAUCUCCAUUCCAUCGUCCGUAGACGUAGAUUUCGGUUGAACUACAUAAAUUUUUGUGUUCUCUUCAUGUUUUUAUUUUUAUAUGCCUAUUUGCUCGAUCUACUUAUCUCUGAAAGUCUCUAACAACUGGUAUCAGAGCAUCGUUGAAUUUUUUCUCUUAUUUUGGGAUAAGAUUGAUCAAAGUUCAUGCACAUUGUGGACAAUUUCUGGAUGCAUAUAAGAGCUACCAGUACUAUUUCACUCAUCCCGAGGUCUCAAACCAAAAAACUAACCAGACGAUUAUGUUUCGAGCAUUGAAAAAUGGUGGGAGAUGAAACUUUACAUCAAUCAAAAGUCAGUGAGCCCUCUAAUACCUGAUCAAAGUUUUAGGAUUUCAAUCAAUGCUUCUAACCACAUCAUCAGCCUAUCCUAUCAGAACCCACUAUGUGUUGCAACAAAUCUUUGCCAUAAUAGUGUACACAUCAGCAGCCACCUAUCAGCCACAUCACCCACCACGUAUCUGUCAUAUCAGCCACCACGUUAGCAUCUACCAUGUCACCGGCCACGUCAACUACCAUAUCAGCAUUUGUCACGUCAUCAGCCAUGUCAGCUGCCAUAUCAGCAUCUGUCACAUCAUCGAUCACGUCAGCUGCCACAUUAACAUCUAGUCAGUCUCUACUGCCAUGUCAGCAACUAUUAUCACGUCAACAGCCCUUUGACCAAAGUUUGACAUGUUGACUCAUAUAUUUUUAGGCUAGUUUUUUGAGUUAUAAUACUAGUUCCUAAGAUUUUCGGAUGUGCUAAAUCCACUUUUUAGAUUAUUUUUGUAAAAUUCAGACCCCAAUACAUCUUUAUUUCAAUUUCAAGAUGUUUGGAAAGUUUAAAAUUGAGAAAUUUGAUGGGUUUAAUAAUUUUAAUCUCUAACAAAUGAAGAUGGAAGAUAUUUUGAUUCAGAAUGGGCUUGAUUCAGCUCUUUUAGGAAAGAAAAAGAUAUCCUCAAUGCUGAAAGAAAAGCAAAUACAAGAUCUAGACCACCAAGCAUCCUCAACCAUUCAUCUCUGUCUCUUUGACAGUGUGGUUAGAGAGGUCUUAUUAGAAAAAUCUAUUGUAGAUUUAUAGAAUAAGUUAAAAUCAUUGUAUUUGAUGAAGUUCACCUCCCAUAAAUGAUUUUUAAAGGUCCAACUACAGGAAGGUAUGUCUAUUCAAUUACAUUUCAAUGCGUUUAAUCAGAUUAUUAUUGACCUCAGGGCUUUAGAAGUAAAGUUAGAUGAUGAAGAUGAGGCUAUCAUCCCUUUGUGUUCUCUACCCCCUUCUUUGGCAAGUUUUAGGGAUUCAUUCCUUUAUCAUCGGGAGGAACCAGCUAAGGUAGAGGAACUUAAGUUAGCUUUCCUAUCCAAAGAGCAGAUUGAUAAGCAGCUAGGUGGAGGUGAGAAUGACAACAGGAACUCUAUAUUGAUAGUUUGAAAAAAUAAAAAUAAAGCAAUCCGCUACUAUUAUUGCAAGGAAAAGGGCCAUGUCAAGGCAAAUUGUUUAAAAUUAAAGGCUUGACGCAAAAAAUAUUUGGAGGAUAGCUAAGAUUACAAGAAAAAGGGGGAUGCAAUGGUUGCUCAUGACUUGGAUGAUGGAGAUGUCUACAUAGUAACCAAUAAUGUCAGUGCUGAGCAUGACGACUAGGUUAUUGAUUCCAUCAAUUCCUACCACAUCACUCAUAAUAGAGAUUGCUUCUCCAUUUAUAAACCCAUGAGUGGUAUGGUGCAUCUAGCAAAUAACAACGAAUGCUGGGCAUAGGAAUGGUUCAAAUAAAAUCAUCUAAUGGUUCAAUUAUGACAUUUCAGGAUAUACGUCAUAUUCUCAAUUUGAAGAAAAAAUUGAUUUCAUUGGACUGCCUGUUGUCGAAAGGGUAUAGAGUUUGAGCGUGAGGUGAAAUUAUGCGCAUUUGGAAGGGAUCUCGUCAAAUUUGGAAGGUGAAGUUAUCACAGAUUCUAAUCUAUACAACCUGCGAGGAGCCACAAUUUGGAGAAAUAAAUAUAGUAGAGAUAAGAUCAUGCACCUCAAAGAAAAGAGCAAUUCAUGUCAUAUUAUAAUUGAUUCCAUCAGUAUUUUUGUAUAAGCCUAUUCAGGGGUUUUGGAGAUGGUGGAGCUCUCCAUGCUUUGAAUUGAAGUCAAGGUAGAGAUUGUUGAGUUAUUAACUCUGAUUCAAAUGUCCAAGCAUUUUUUGUCAAGAUAGAGAUCUUAUACCUCUAUAAAUAUGAGGGUAAGGUUAUGGGUUUUUGUGUGCGUGGUAUGUACGGAAGAUUAUGAGAAAAUGGUGCAAAGUGAUUAGGAUUUGAGAGUUUUUCUCUUUGUAUUCCAAUCCUAAAAUAGUACAUCUGUAUUUCAUCACCCGUGGAUGUAGGCUUCGAUUGAACCAUAUAAGUUUCUGUAUUCUCUCUGUGUUUUUAUUUCUGUGUGCCUAUUUGCUCGAUCUAUUUGUCUCCAAAAAUCUCCAACAUUCUCUAUAGACAUUGUUGCACAAAUCAUGGCAAUCCCUGUUCCAAGGAAUCAAUGCAAUGACAUUUUGGAAUAAUUCAAGGACCAUGAAGCUGAAAUCCAAAGAUGUUUAUAAGGUCCCUCAAAAGGAAUCUGAAAUUGAAGAUGAUAUUAAUUAAUCUCAGCUUGCUGUGGAAGGUUGAUGUGCAAGAAAUUGCUAGAGCCAGUUGAGGUGCGAGUAAUUGCUCCACUCUAGAGGCCUAAUCCAAGAUCAAGAUGCUAGCUACAAUAUUUGUCAAACUGGUACAGAGGAUAUCCAGCAUGCCCUUUUACAUUGCCCUCAUGCUUUAGAGGUAGGGAUUGAGCUAAUGAAACAUCACCCAGCCAUUCCUCGAUUCCCUUUAUUGAAAGCUACUCUGAGUUCAAUCGGACUCUCAUUUGUUAUACCACAUAGGCUAUAUGGAACUUAAGAAAUGAAUGCUAAUUUCAGAGUAAACAAAAUAAUGAUGUUACCGUUUAUUAUCUUGUCUAUAUAUUAGCUGAUGAAUAUUUCAGCAUGACAAAAAGCUCGUUUGACACUAAUGGUCUGCAGAACUGGGAAACCAGCAGCUUAGUGAGUCUUAGUCAUGGUUCUCCCUCCCUGUGGUCUAAUCAAAGUGAAUUUUGAUGCUUGUUAGUCUGAAGAUUAUGCUGGAAGCAGCUUCGUCAUAAGAAACUGCAGCCGUAAUGUUAUGCAUGCUGCCUCAAGGAGAAUUCACACAGUUUCUGUCCUGCUUGCCGAAUUACAAGCUACAUAAAGUAGCCUUGAUUUAAAUCAAUAUGAAUUCUACCAAAAAAAAAAAAUCAAUAUGGCUUGAAGGUGACUUAGCUGUAGUUAUUCAAUGGAUUUCUGAUAUUCAACAUAGCAGCUCUCUGCAGCAUAUUUUUCAGCAACAUCACCCCCUCUUCUCUCAUAUAAGGCUUGCUUAUCUUCUUCGAAUUUUUUCAUGGCCUCUAAUGUCUUUAGAUAAGCUAAUCAGCAGGCUAAUUAAUAGAUUGGCUUAUCUCCCUGGUGAUUUCGCAUCCGCCUUGCUCUUGCCCCAUGUAUGAAACCUAAUCUUUUGUUCUAGCUGACAGAAUUAGAGAUGCCCCAAAAAACUUCUAUUCACAUCUUUCAAGGCACAAACUUAUCAUGUAAUAUUGUUGCAGUUCCUUGACAUAUUUUUGGACCAGUGAGGGAAGACAUUUGUCCGUAUCAGACAGAUUUAUAUGUUAAAUGUGCCUACAAAUAUAUUCAGAAACCACCAUGAUAAUUUAAGCAUCCUAGGAAGCUUGAAGAUUUAUGAUUAUGCCUCUUGGGGCCGAUGUUUUUGGCAGGUGGUCAGUAUUUCUCUUUGGUGGUAGUGAAGUCAAACACAAUCGAGAUGCUUGAACAUCUUUGGAAUUUUAAGUCUGACACCAACUUAGGCAUUAGAGACAUGGAACACAUAAUAUGGAGCAAUUUAUAUCUGACUUUGAGUUAUAAAAUCCAUUGCUUAUGUCAUCAAAAAAAAUAUCCAUUGUCAUUUUAUAUAGCAUUUGUUGCUGCAAGGCUCCGAGGAGGUACUGAUGUGGCUGAAGUUAGACACUGUCGGAGAUCCGCAACAUCAAGGAGUACCUGCAAAUGAAAUCCACACUCGCCAAAGGUGUUUCAGGAGGGGAUCCUCCAAUACCUAAGUUAGUCAGAGCUUUGAGAACAGUAGAAGGAAAAAACAGCAAGCUAGAAAAGUGAAAAGGAUUCUCCUUUCUCCUCCUUAAGGGCUUGCCCUUCUCUCGAGUUGCUUGUAUUUUGCUUGCUUACGUGAGAGUUUCCUUCAUACUUUUUUUUGUAUAGAUAUU
This 13418-nucleotide long non-coding RNA is filed under the name Elaeis guineensis (African oil palm). Its description in RNAcentral is "long non-coding RNA (EGUI_LNC036399)". The record is from RNAcentral. Lineage: Eukaryota; Viridiplantae; Streptophyta; Magnoliopsida; Arecales; Arecaceae.